GCCAUAUACUUUUCCCUUCUUCAUCUAUCUCUCUCUCUCUCUCUCUCUCUCUCUCUCUCUCGUUUUAUAUAUAUGCGGGAAGGUCAGGAGCUUUCACCUAACAUGAAGGCUAUAAAAGCCAGACAACGAUUUCUACCAGGUGGCUACUCAUCUGUCUCAUGCCAAAGUGAAAGCUUGAAGCAUGAAGGCUUUGAAUUUGGGGGUGCUGAGAGUUUGUUGUGUGAGAUGGGUUCGACUUGAUGUGAAUUGGGUGCUAUCCUACCUGAGCUUUGAUUCUUCCUUUUUCUUUCAUCCUUAUUCCUUCAUCCAACCAUUUUCUUCUUCUUGACCUUGUAAGACCUUUUCUUGACCUUGUAAGAUCUCACGCCGGGUCUGUUGUCUUUCUCAUCCGUAUUCUAACAAACUCUGCACCGGAAUUCUCCGAUGUAGAGUUUGGCCUCCGCUUCUUCCCGUUCCCUCCAUACCCUUCUUCUCCUUCCUUGUCUAUCCCUCCUGAGCUGUUCGGAAACUAUAUAUCUAUAUAUACAAUUCUGUCACACUCCCCGAUACCGACAUAAGUACGAAUCAAAGGUGUGAUAUAGCUAGGCAUCAAUGCUCGCCUGUAAAUCUGGGAAGGACUGAGAUGAUGAAAAUGCUAAUUGUAAUGUGGUCCUCCCAUAGUAGCUAGAGAGCAGUGAAAAAGGUGUAGUACUAGCAGAAUAUUAAUGACAUAUAUAUCAUUCUAUCUUGUUGUUAUUAUGAGAAGAAAUUGAAAUCAGAAUAAAAAAGAUGUGGCUUCGUUUCUUUCUUGCUA
Rosa chinensis is the source of this 793-nucleotide long non-coding RNA. RefSeq lists it as uncharacterized. The transcript is spliced from 2 exons. The record is from RefSeq and is a predicted model, not a curated record. Lineage: Eukaryota; Viridiplantae; Streptophyta; Magnoliopsida; Rosales; Rosaceae.